Molecule: long non-coding RNA, 605 nt
Filed under: Bos taurus (domestic cattle)
Lineage: Eukaryota; Metazoa; Chordata; Mammalia; Artiodactyla; Bovidae
Description: long non-coding RNA NONBTAT024714
Source: RNAcentral
CUCACUUCCUGAACCAUGUGUCUUCUCUGAGUUUGUAUAUACUCUCUGAUGUUUCCUGCACAUUGAAUCCCAAGUUUUAAAUUAAAGCAAAUCUUAGCCAGAUCGGGGUCUGAUCACUGAUAUGUGAGUAUGGUCCUUGGUGUUGACAUCCCAGGGGGCCCUCUUUUGUUCUCUUAGCAGAGCUCUGUGUUAUCAAGGGCCAAGCUUCUGUGUGUGGGCUAAGCUAGGGAGGGGUUGUAGGAUUGGGGAUGAAUCCACGUGGUCCUCAUACCUUAUGCCCACUUUUGGAAAGAGGGGGCUUGUAUGAAUUCACAUUGAUGACGUUCCCCAAGGAGACACUUCAGCUAAGGGGCACCCAGUCUGAGUGUUAGUGUGGUCCUGUCUCGAAGGUCUUCCUGCUUCCCCACAACAAGCAAUGAGCCUCUUACUGCUUGCUGGGCUCCUGCCUGCUGCCUUUCAGUGCUGAUCUCAACAGCUCUGCCCUCUGAUGCUGCACCAGGAUCUGGGGAGGUGGGAUAGGGAGGGGACUCUACUGAUUGCUAUGUGUUGCUUAACUUUAUUUCCCUUUCUUAUGUUUGAAGAGAGUAGGCCUGAAACAUGAUCUG